This is a long non-coding RNA of Ipomoea nil (Japanese morning glory), 98 nucleotides long. RefSeq lists it as uncharacterized. Lineage: Eukaryota; Viridiplantae; Streptophyta; Magnoliopsida; Solanales; Convolvulaceae. The transcript has 3 exons. The record is from RefSeq and is a predicted model, not a curated record.
AUGCACAGCGCUUAGACUCAUCUCUUUGCUUUCUUUUCGUAUGAAUUUUCUACCUUCUUCUAACUAUAUUCCACCGUACUUCAAUAUGUUUUGCAAUU